RNAcentral lists this ribosomal RNA (254 nucleotides) under uncultured bacterium. RNAcentral describes it as "partial 16S ribosomal RNA". It matches the Rfam family "Bacterial small subunit ribosomal RNA", at positions 524 to 776 of the family's 1533-position model. The record is from RNAcentral.
UACGUAGGGUGCGAGCGUUAAUCGGAAUUACUGGGCGUAAAGCGUGCGCAGGCGGUCUGUUAAGACCGAUGUGAAAUCCCCGGGCUUAACCUGGGAACUGCAUUGGUGACUGGCAGGCUUUGAGUGUGGCAGAGGGAGGUAGAAUUCCACGUGUAGCAGUGAAAUGCGUAGAGAUGUGGAGGAAUACCGAUGGCGAAGGCAGCCUCCUGGGCCAACACUGACGCUCAUGCACGGAAGCGUGGGGAGCAAACAGG